GUAGAAGAAAGUAAGAAAGGGUACACGGGGGAUGCCUUGGCUCUCAGAGGCGAAGAAGGACGUGAUAAGCUGCGAUAAGCUGCGGGGAUUAGCAAAUAUGAAUUAAUCCGCAGAUUUCCGAAUGGGGAAACCUAGUUAUUUGAAGAAUAACUGCAUAAAUGCGCUAACCUGCCGAACUGAAACAUCUAAGUAAGCAGAGGAAGAGAAAACAAUAGUGAUUUCCAGAGUAGUGGCGAGCGAAAUGGAAGAAGCCCAAACCUGUUAUGUUACGGCAUAGCAGGGGUUGUAGGACCACAACAUGAAUAUUAAAUAGAACCGGAACGGGGUGGGAAACCCGGCCAUAGAGCAUGAGAGCUGCGUACGGGUAAUAGAUAAUAGGAUAGUGGUAUCCUGAGUACCGCGAGGUCGGAGACGCCUUGUGGGAAUUUGCCGGCACCAUCCGGUAAGGCUAAAUACUCCUGAGAGACCGAUAGUGAACCAGUACCGUGAGGGAAAGGUGAAAAGAACCCCGAACAGGGGAGUGAAAUAGAACCUGAAACCGUGUACUUACAAGCGGUCGGAGCCUGGCAACGGGUGACGGCGUGCCUUUUGCAUAAUGAGCCUACGAGUUACUCUUCCCUGGCAAGGUUAAGUGUUUAAGACACGGAUCCGAAGCGAAAGCGAGUCUGAAAAGGGCGUAUAGUCAGGGGAGGUAGACGCGAAACCUUGUGAUCUACCCAUGGGCAGGUUGAAGGUGCCGUAACAGGUACUGGAGGACCGAACCGAUAAACGUUGAAAAGUUUCCGGAUGACUUGUGGGUAGGGGUGAAAGGCUAAUCAAACUGGGAAAUAGCUCGUACUCCCCGAAAUGUUUUUAGGAACAGCCUGGCGGUUGAGUUAUAAAGAGGUAGAGCUACUAAUUGGGUGCGGGGGAGUCAAAUCCUACCAAAUCCAGAUAAACUCCGAAUGCUUUAUAAUAUACGCUGGAGUGAGGCUAUGGGUGCUAAGGUCCAUGGCCGAGAGGGAAAGAACCCAGACCAUCAGCUAAGGUCCCUAAAUUAUUGCUAAGUUGAACUAACGAGGUCCGAUUGCACAGACAGCUAGGAUGUUGGCUUGGAAGCAGCCAUUCAUUUAAAGAGUGCGUAACAGCUCACUAGUCGAGCGAUCGGGCAUGGAUAAUAAACGGGCAUCAAGCAGUAUACCGAAGCUAUGGAUUCAUAUUAAUAUGACUGGUAGGGGAGCAUUCUAUUAUCCGGCGAAGCAGGAAGGUAACUGACUGUGGAGGGAAUAGAAAAGCAAAUGUAGGCAUAAGUAACGAUAAGGCGGGAGAGAAACCCGCCCACCGAAAGACUAAGGUUUCCUGAUCAACGCUAAUCGGAUCAGGGUUAGUCGGGGCCUAAGGUGAAGCCGACAGGCGUAGCCGAUGGACAACUGGUUAAUAUUCCAGUACUUUUUAUUACUGCGAUGCGGUGACGGAGUAGUGACACUGACGCGAACUGACGGAAUAGUUCGUUAAAGGCUGUAGGUAUAGAGUUUGUAGUUAAGUACGCAGACUUUGCUGAAAGCUGAUAGUACACCAAAUCUUCGGACAAGGUGAUAGUUCAGGUAAUCAGACUUCCAAGAAAACCCGCUAAGCUUCAGGUAAUAAAAACCCGUACCGUAAACCGACACAGGUAGUCGAGGAGAGAAUCCUAAGGUGCUCGAGUGAAUCAUGGCUAAGGAACUCGGCAAAAUGGCCCUGUAACUUCGGGAGAAGGGGCGCUGG
This 1743-nucleotide ribosomal RNA is filed under the name Mucilaginibacter gossypii. Its description in RNAcentral is "bacterial LSU rRNA". It matches the Rfam family "Bacterial large subunit ribosomal RNA", at positions 1 to 1754 of the family's 2925-position model. The record is from RNAcentral. Lineage: Bacteria; Pseudomonadati; Bacteroidota; Sphingobacteriia; Sphingobacteriales; Sphingobacteriaceae.